RNAcentral lists this ribosomal RNA (206 nucleotides) under uncultured bacterium. Its description in RNAcentral is "partial 16S ribosomal RNA". It matches the Rfam family "Bacterial small subunit ribosomal RNA", at positions 1287 to 1500 of the family's 1533-position model. The record is from RNAcentral.
CUCAGUUCGGAUUGGAGUCUGCAACCCGACUCCAUGAAGCUGGAUUCGCUAGUAAUCGCGCAUCAGCCACGGCGCGGUGAAUACGUUCCCGGGCCUUGUACACACCGCCCGUCAAGCCAUGGAAGCCGGGGGUGCCUGAAGUGCGCUGCCGCGAGGAGCGCCCUAGGGUAAAACCGGUGACUGGGGCUAAGUCGUAACAAGGUAUC